CGAAUCUGUUAAAAAGAUAACAAAAGCAGUUUUUUUUUAAAAAGAAAAUAAACUGGAUGAAGUACAGAACCAACUUGAUAUAGAAAUAGAAGAAUUUCAAUACGAUCUAAAAAACAAAGAAUGGAUAUACGAACAUCAAAAAAACAUCUACGAAAGUUUGGAGAGAUUAAUGCAUGUAUCACAUGACAUCACCUUUAUCACUGCAUACGAAACCCUGAAGAGAGAGAUUCAUGACAUCAGUGAUUUCGUUGGAGAAAGAGGUCAAAAACAAGUAUACAGGUUUGAUCAGAAGGUGUUUGUUCAGGAAGUUGUUAAUGCAAUUGUGUCUGAUUUUGAAAUGAGUUUGGUAGGCAGGGAAGAUGGAAGCGUUGUUUUAAUGAACAAAACAGAAACAGAAAAGAAGGAAAAGGAAUAAAAAGCAGAAAAAGAAUACUUCAUCAAUGAACACUUUCCGUAAAAAACGACAUCCGGAAAUUAGAGAAUAUAUUGAAUUACCAAUGCACUGUGUAUGCAGCAACAUUAAACCAUUGUCGUGAUGUCAGCCUAUUCAUUUACUGUGGAUUCUUUUUCUAGAAUCAACGCUUCCUAAAUCUGUCGCUGAAAUGGACUCACCAAAUUAUAUUCAAUUGUUUCCUUUGUGUACUUAAUUUCAUUACGUUUGAAUUGGCUAAUUUACUGAUUUAUGUUCACUAAUGGAAUUAAUUUAAAAACUUACCUUCAAUAUUUGUAAUUUCUAUAUGCCUUCACUGGGAAUCGAACCCGUCCUUGAAAUCUAUUAUGUGUGACUGACAUCAACAUAUCGACGAAACCUCUCGGCUACCAAUGGGUUACAAAGUAAAUGUCUAUUUCAUAUAUAUGAAUGAACAUAUAAUAUACAUCGGUACAACGGACACACAGGGCUAGUACCUUUAUAUAUACAUAGUUUAGGCAAUUGUAUAGUAUAAGUUGAUAGCCGCGAGGUUACCAUUGUUAAGAUCAAUGAGUUAAAGGUAGGGACUUGUCGGUUUAAGUUAAAAUCCCUGUUUUCUCUUUGUUGUCCCUAUUCUUUAGUUUUUCCGGUUUUUAUUUUUCUUUCUUGUUUGGAUGUUAUUGUGGAUAUGUUUGUAAUAAUAGCGAGUUUUACCGUUUAUUUUUGGAUUAUUUUAGGCUAUUUCACAUAUUUGAAACGAAAAUGAUUACAUUCUAUUUGUUCACUUUUGUUUUAUAAAUAAAGUAUGAUUUCAUCUGUUAAUAAUUUUUCAAAUGAUUAUUCCUAAAUUCCUAUGCGAGAAAAUCGUGAUGUGCCUAG
This is a long non-coding RNA of Mytilus californianus (California mussel), 1288 nucleotides long. RefSeq lists it as uncharacterized. The transcript is spliced from 3 exons. The record is from RefSeq and is a predicted model, not a curated record. Lineage: Eukaryota; Metazoa; Mollusca; Bivalvia; Mytilida; Mytilidae.